GCGCAGGCUGCCAUUUCGUUCAACCCAAACAACAAACAAAUGGAGGGCAUCCAUGGGGUUGCACAAUCAAUUUAAGGAGACCUACAAGCUUAUUUCCAUGGACCCCAUGGGGUUGUUUGACCCAUUGACCCCACUGUGGGUCUGUCCCUGCCCAUUAACCAUGAAAAUCUUCACCUUCCAUCACAACCCAAUCAACAACAACCAUUAUCAAUACCAUCUUCUCCAUCAUUAUCAUCUUUGUUGUCGUCCCCGUUGUCCUCAUCAAGUACAGACCCAAUAUCAAGAUUAUUCUUUAGAUUCUCUUAACUCUUAUCGCUAUGUUUUUCCCUCUUUUUUGUGGUAAAGAGGGGGCCAAGCCCAAAU
Molecule: long non-coding RNA, 363 nt
Filed under: Prunus persica (peach)
Lineage: Eukaryota; Viridiplantae; Streptophyta; Magnoliopsida; Rosales; Rosaceae
Description: long non-coding RNA (PPER_LNC004839)
Source: RNAcentral